Molecule: ribosomal RNA, 254 nt
Filed under: uncultured bacterium
Lineage: Bacteria
Description: partial 16S ribosomal RNA
Rfam family: Bacterial small subunit ribosomal RNA
Source: RNAcentral
UACGUAGGGGGCAAGCGUUGUUUGGAAUGACUGGGCGUAAAGGGUGCGUAGGCGGUGUAGCAAGUUAGAAGUGAAAUACCUAGAGCUUAACUCAGGUGCUGCUUCUAAAACUGCUAUACUUGAGUGCAGUAGAGGAAAGUGGAAUUCCUAGUGUAGCGGUGGAAUGCGUAGAUAUUAGGAGGAACAUCAGUGGCGAAGGCGACUUUCUGGACUGUAACUGACGCUGAGGCGCGAAAGCGUGGGGAGCAAACAGG